CGGCCGCAGCAAUGACGCGAUGUGGCAAAGCCGGAAAUACCUUGCGCAGAGGGAGUCCAGUUUUAGCUUCCGCUGUCUGAGGAAGGAGCUCAACGGAAAGUUCUAGCGGCGUUCAAGACACCGUGCGUCUACUCCCAUAAGUCCUCCGCUCCGAGAGGCAUCUCGCAGGCUCUGGAUGUCAGCAUUCAUCGUUCGCCUGCUUCAGGGCCGAGCGUGAACUUCGUCUUGUUCCACCACGGCUGCGAUCCCCGUCCCGCGGGAGGGCGGGGGGUUACCUCCAAAGCAGUCGGACGGCGCCACGGCACAUCUCGGAUGAGCUAUUCUUCGCAUAUGCCAGUUGGACUCCUGUUUCCUGUUUGAGUCGCGGCCGUCUUGUGCAUACUGUGAAACGUGUGACAUCCUCAGAGCCACCGCUGAACUGUGCUUGCACAUAUAAAUAGGAGAGCAGUUCCAGUCAACAGCAUUAC
RNAcentral lists this long non-coding RNA (467 nucleotides) under Scleropages formosus (Asian bonytongue). RNAcentral describes it as "lncRNA (ENSSFOG00015030364.1)". The record is from RNAcentral. Lineage: Eukaryota; Metazoa; Chordata; Actinopteri; Osteoglossiformes; Osteoglossidae.